RNAcentral lists this non-coding RNA (508 nucleotides) under Saccharomyces cerevisiae (brewer's yeast). Lineage: Eukaryota; Fungi; Ascomycota; Saccharomycetes; Saccharomycetales; Saccharomycetaceae. The record is from RNAcentral.
UUCAGCCUUUGGCCUCAAACCUCAGUGGCAGUCUUUCCCCUGAUAAGGAAUAGGAAGGCAUGCAGCGAUAUAUAUGUUAGUUUUGCCUACGGGAAUCCGGCAGCAAUGUUAUUUAUUUUUGUUGUUUCUUAUGAUUUAAUUAUUAUAUACAGGUUCGUAAAUAUUGGCAUGAUAAUGAGGAGAAGGUGGAACCAGCACACUACGUCGAUGGAGGCCCUUAGAAUAUAGUGCAACACUUAAAAAUGUAAUCUAGUACUUUUUCUUCAUUUUAUUAGCACUGGGUUCUCGCAGUUUACUCGGUAGGAGGUGCAGUAGGACUUUGCAGUUGUUGAUUGUCUUCUUCAAGUGCCUUUUGUUGGGUCACUUGUUGUUCGUACUUCUUACCGUUCAUGUAUAAAGUGUAAGCUAAGCCACCCGACAUGUAUAACGUACCACCAACCAACGUCAGUACCGUUAGACGAUGUAAUGUAUCUGUAACUCUGGUAUACCAAGCGUAUUUGGACAUGAC